AUUGAACGCUGGCGGCAUGCUUUACACAUGCAAGUCGAGCGGUAACAGGCCUUCGGGUGCUGACGAGUGGCGAACGGGUGAGUAAUGCAUCGGAACGUACCCAGAGGUGGGGGAUAACGCAGCGAAAGCUGUGCUAAUACCGCAUGUGAUCUGAGGAUGAAAGCGGGGGACCGAGCAGCAAUGUUUGGCCUCGCGCCUUUGGAGCGGCCGAUGUCGGAUUAGCUAGUUGGUGGGGUAAAGGCCUACCAAGGCGACGAUCCGUAGCUGGUCUGAGAGGACGACCAGCCACACUGGGACUGAGACACGGCCCAGACUCCUACGGGAGGCAGCAGUGGGGAAUGUUGGACAAUGGGCGCAAGCCUGAUCCAGCAAUGCCGCGUGCGGGAAGAAGGCCUUCGGGUUGUAAACCGCUUUUGGCAGGAACGAAACGGUGUCCGCUAAUACCGGGCGCUAAUGACGGUACCUGCAGAAUAAGCACCGGCUAACUACGUG
Molecule: ribosomal RNA, 492 nt
Filed under: uncultured bacterium
Lineage: Bacteria
Description: partial 16S ribosomal RNA
Rfam family: Bacterial small subunit ribosomal RNA
Source: RNAcentral